Molecule: ribosomal RNA, 212 nt
Filed under: uncultured bacterium
Lineage: Bacteria
Description: partial 16S ribosomal RNA
Rfam family: Bacterial small subunit ribosomal RNA
Source: RNAcentral
UACGUAGGGUGCAAGCGUUGUCCGGAAUUAUUGGGCGUAAAGAGCUCGUAGGCGGUUUGUCGCGUCUGCUGUGAAAACGCGAGGCUCAACCUCGCGCCUGCAGUGGGUACGGGCAGACUAGAGUGCGGUAGGGGAGAUUGGAAUUCCUGGUGUAGCGGUGGAAUGCGCAGAUAUCAGGAGGAACACCGAUGGCGAAGGCAGGAUCAUCUGGG